Long non-coding RNA from Esox lucius (northern pike), 1534 nucleotides. Lineage: Eukaryota; Metazoa; Chordata; Actinopteri; Esociformes; Esocidae. The record is from Ensembl.
CUCCAUGACAAUAACCACAGAGCCCUCCUCCGCCAAGGGGACGCCUCCGUGGGCAGGGCUACAAAGUGUCAGUCCCUCCACUGACCCCUGACCUCUAACAGGACAGUCUAGGCUGUCAUGUAGCUCACUCACCCCCUCCUCUCCUCCAUCCCCUUCUCCUCCUCUCUUCACUCCACCCGCCUCCUCCCUUUCUCCCUCCCUCUCCUCCUCCUCCUCCUCUUCCUCCUCUGGCUCCACUUGACAGCGACACACUUCAAUGCCCGAGUCCCCAGUUAAACGACGGUGGCGGUACUGGCUCUCGUCUGCACUCACCUCCUCCUCCUCCUCUUCAUCACUCCUCCAAGUAUGGGGGCCAGGCUGGUACACAUCCACACAAGGGGAGAAGAGUGUCUGCUUUGGGGGCGACUGGGUGGGCCUGGGGGAGACAGGAGGAGGAGAGGAGGAGGAGGAUGAGUGAGAGGAGAGAGGAGGAGAGGAGGGAGAGGGGACCGGCGGAGGAGACAAUGGAAAGGAGGGAGGAGGAGAUGAAGAGAUGGAUACACAGACUGGAGGAGGAGAAGAGGGGGAGGAGAGAGGAGGAGAGCAGUUGGAGGAGGAAGGAGGAAAUGAGAGAGGAUGAGUAGGGGUGGAGGAGACAUGAGGAGGAUUAGGAGGGGAGGAGACAGGAGAAGAGGAGGGGGAGGAGAGAGGUGGAAAGGAGGGGGAUGACAGAGGAGGAGAGGAUGGGGAGAUCACAGCUGAGUCUAGAACUCUAGAAGAGACUGGAGCUGGAGAGGUCAGGGUCAUGGUCGGGGUUACAGGGGUCACAGUGGGGGCAGAGAUAGGGUCUGUAGUAACACCAGAGUCCAGGGAAGAGUGUGGGGUUGAUACUGAGACAGGCUCUGUCGUUACUCCAGAGUGUGGAGUUGAAACAGGGUCUGUAGUUAUUCCAGAGUGUGGGGUUGAAACUGGGUCUGUAGUUAUUCCAGAGUGUGGGGUUGAGACCGGGACAGGGUCUGUAGUUAUUCCAGAGUGUGGGGUUGAGACCGGGACAGGGUCUGUAGUUAUUCCAGAGUGUGGAGUUGAGACCGGGACAGGGUCUGUCGUUAUUCCAGAGUGUGGGGUUGAGACCGGGACAGGGUCUGUAGUUAUUCCAGAGUGUGGGGUUGAGACCGGGACAGGGUCUGUAGUUAUUCCAGAGUGUGGGGUUGAGACCGGGACAGGGUCUGUCGUUAUUCCAGAGUGUGGGGUUGAAACAGGGUCUGUAGUUAUUCCAGAGUGUGGGGUUGAGACUGAGACAGGCUCUGUCGUUAAUCCAGGGUGUGGGGUUGAAACACGGUCUGUAGUUAUUCCAGAGUGUGGGGUUGAGACUGAGACAGGCUCUGUCGUUAAUCCAGGGUGUGGGGUUGACACAGAGACAGGGCCUGUAGUAAGGAGUUUGUUGUGACCAGGGCUGACAGUCCCAGCAAUAGGAGAUUCUGUUGGUGUGGCAACUAAAGGAUGUUCUGUAGGUGUGGCAACAAGAGGAUGUUCUGUUGGCGUGGGAACAAUAGGC